RNAcentral lists this transfer RNA (60 nucleotides) under Dipodomys ordii (Ord's kangaroo rat). It matches the Rfam family "tRNA", at positions 7 to 64 of the family's 71-position model. From Rfam's summary of the family: Transfer RNA (tRNA) molecules are approximately 80 nucleotides in length. Their secondary structure includes four short double-helical elements and three loops (D, anti-codon, and T loops). The record is from Rfam by way of RNAcentral. Lineage: Eukaryota; Metazoa; Chordata; Mammalia; Rodentia; Heteromyidae.
GUAGCUCAGUGGUAGAGUGCUUGCCUUGCAUGCAUGAAGCCCUGGGUUCGAUUCUUCAGC